UUAAGUUCAGCGGGUAGUCCUACCUGAUUUGAGGUCAAAUUUGUCAAAUGUGCACCCCCACAACAGGGAUUCACUUGUUAAGAAGCAGUUCAUGCAGAGUACUAAAGGCAUAGAUAAUUAUCACACCUGUAGCAGUUUCUCUGCUCGGAGACCACUAAUGCAUUUCAGGGGAGCCGACUUUGAAAAGCCUGCAAAAUAAC
RNAcentral lists this unclassified non-coding RNA (200 nucleotides) under Inocybe sp. RNAcentral describes it as "partial internal transcribed spacer 2". The record is from RNAcentral. Lineage: Eukaryota; Fungi; Basidiomycota; Agaricomycetes; Agaricales; Inocybaceae.